UCCUGACUGCCUAGCACCACACCUUCAAGAUCAUAUAAAAACAUUAAAAAAAUGGAAGAGGCAAUGAGGAAUGACGGAUUAAGCUUCCUUGCCGUAGGACUGAUAAAACGCUAAUGGACAACUAUUCUACUUUGUUUACAGAUCUCUGAGGGAUUUUCUACGUGACCAGCAAUUCUCAGGCCAGGAUACAAAACUAAAAUAUAAAUAUUGUAUAAAUAUGAUAUUUCUAAAUUACUAAGUUUUUCAACGUGUAGAAG
Arabidopsis thaliana (thale cress) is the source of this 257-nucleotide long non-coding RNA. RefSeq annotates it as other RNA. The record is from RefSeq. The transcript has a single exon. NCBI's taxonomy places the organism in Eukaryota, Viridiplantae, Streptophyta, Magnoliopsida, Brassicales, Brassicaceae.